Long non-coding RNA from Cynoglossus semilaevis (tongue sole), 997 nucleotides. RefSeq lists it as uncharacterized. NCBI's taxonomy places the organism in Eukaryota, Metazoa, Chordata, Actinopteri, Pleuronectiformes, Cynoglossidae. The record is from RefSeq and is a predicted model, not a curated record. The transcript is spliced from 3 exons.
CGUGUGUGUAUAUGUGUGUCACAGAAACAUUUAGUCACGUGAUCACAUUCAUAACUGGAGCUAACGUGUCACCGACCGCAGCCUUGGCUGAGAUUCUCUCUGACACUUGGUGCUGACUCCACAGUUUUUCCUUUGUCUUCAGUUUCUGUUCCCGUCAACAGUUGGACCUGAGCGUCCGUCGUCUCUGAGCUGCUGAGAAGUGGACGCGUGAUUCAAACACGUAGCUGCCAGUGCUAGCCACGUUGCUAGUCGUUGUUAGCGGCGUAUUAACAACACUGUAUGACUUUAAUGAGUGAUUCAUAAAACAGUUUUACUGCCCGUGACUAUCAGGGUGAAACAACACAAAGAAGACGCUUUUUGACAGUAAAUAUUGGUAGCCUAGCAUUGAUAGCAACAACAGCAGCAUUAGCCUUCUGAAAGUUUUAUGUCAGAGAACACUGGGGUCAACCCUUAGAGUGUGUAUGUUCAACACGGCUUCUAACUUGAGUGUCAAAAUUCAAACAAAAGCUAAUCUUAUUUCAAUUUUGUACGACAUUUCAGUCCAUAUAUUCUUGGGGUCAUCGUUGAAGUAACAAUGAAUUUAAAGUCUUUUUUCUUCUUCUGCAGGUCUUCUUCUCCAUCGUCUACUUCAGCAGCUCUGAGACACAAACUGUCUUAUCCUGGUCCGUGAACCAUGGCCUGAGCCACAUCCUACAGUGACAUCACGGGUGCCGAGAGUCUCUUCAUGUCAUUGGUGUGACUGGAGAAUGAUUUCCCAUCAGCCACUGCUGUGAUCCAACAAGCACCAGCUGCUGGAAAAUGUCCAUCUCUGAGACACUUAAGCACCGAAGAGUAAACGCACGUGUGGCUCCUCUGUCUAUCUCACCUGUUCAGGAUCCUGGGGGUCACAUGGUCGCAGCACAACAGCACCGCCCUUCUGGCUGGGUCGUCCCUGGGCCACAAGACAGCGGCCGGUUGAGAGAUUGCGCAGCUGAAGGAUGACAGACACACAAUGACU